GACUUAGAGCCAUAUCCAAAAGAAUUAGCCAUCUUCCCCAAAGGAGAGGAAGUACGUCGGGGUUCUGAAAAUGCUGAUGAGAUUUGGAGAGCAUGCUCAACCUCUCGAGCAAGAGUCAUGGUGCGUGAUAGAUCUGUAGUUUCAUGACUGCGUAAUUGAGCCCGGAUGUCGUCACGAAGACCAUUCAAAAAAUAACCCAAAUAAUGGGGAUUUGUCAAGUGAGGGACCUACGCCGCUCUGGCCACAAAAUCAUCAAUGUAUGCAUCGACGGUACCAGUCUGUUUGACUGCGGCCAUCCGUUCAUAAGGACUGGUAAUACCAUCAGACCCAUAACGAUUCAAUGGCUCCAUUGAAAAUUGCUCCCAUGUCAGUGUUGGAAGUCGUUGACGAAGCCAGCGAAGCCAAUGAACGGUAUUGCCAUCCAUGCAUAUAACGGCCAAAUGGAUCUUGUGCUCCGAUCGAGUACCAUUUAACUCAAAGAAUUGUUCAGCCCUAGUGAGCCAACCCAAAAGAUCAGUACCAUCAAAAAGUGGAAGUUCAAUACGACGAGCUG
This 553-nucleotide unclassified non-coding RNA is filed under the name Hevea brasiliensis (rubber tree). Lineage: Eukaryota; Viridiplantae; Streptophyta; Magnoliopsida; Malpighiales; Euphorbiaceae. The record is from RNAcentral.